Ctenopharyngodon idella (grass carp) is the source of this 2840-nucleotide long non-coding RNA. RefSeq lists it as uncharacterized. The record is from RefSeq and is a predicted model, not a curated record. NCBI's taxonomy places the organism in Eukaryota, Metazoa, Chordata, Actinopteri, Cypriniformes, Xenocyprididae. The transcript is spliced from 3 exons.
CUCCCCUCUCCAGGCAACCCUGAAACACCUUCCUGUGAGAUAGGAUUCAAACCAGUGAAGUGGAGCUCCUGUGAUGUCCAGUGAUGAGAGGAUAGACAGAAGGAUCUGAUGAUUCACCGUGUCAAAGGCAGCAGAAUGAGAACUGAUGAUUUGGAACUAGCCUUUGCAAUUCGCAAGGAUUCAGUAACCGACAGUAGUGCAGUCUCGGUCGAGUGGCCACUCUUGAAACCAGAUUGAUUGACAUCCAAUUGGUUGCUCUGUGAGAGAAAAGAUGACAACUGGUUGAAAACAACUCGUUCAAUUGUUUUUGCUAUGAAUGGUAGGAGAGAAACAGGUCUGUAGCUGUCUACAAGAGACGUGCUUAAUGUGGGUUUUUUGAGCAGUGGGGUUACCCGAGCCUGCUUGAAUGUGUUAGGGAAAGUACCAGUGUGGAGAGAUGUGUUGAUAAUGUGUGUAAGUGCUGGUAAAAGUGUAGGAGCGAUGGCUUGUAGAAGGUGUGAGGGGAUGGGAUCUAGAGGGCAGGUGGUGAGAUGACUGGAGAGGAGAAGUUUGGAUACUUCUGUCUCAGUGAGGGGAGAGAAUGAAGAAAGGAGGUGUGCGGCUGUGUGUGUGAUUGGUCUGAGUUCCUGUCUGUGUGGAGCAGAGAACUGACUGCUGAUGGUAGAUGUUUUGUCAGUGAAAAAAUUAGCAAAAUUAUCAGCAGUUAGGGAUGAUGUGGGUGGUGGUGGAGGGGGACAGAGGAGAGAGUUGAAUGUUUUGAAAAGUGUGCGUGUGUUUGAAGCGCUGUUGAUUUUGUUGUGGAAAUAGGUAGAUUUAGCAGCAUGAAUUCCAGCAGAAAAGGAUGAGAGCAGAGAUUGAUAGCAGCCUAGGUCAGAUUGGUCUUUUGAUUUGUGCCAUUUCCUCUCCGCAGCCCUGAGUUUGGUCCGAUGUUCACGAAGAACAUCGGAUAACCAGGGAUUAGAGGGAGUAGCACGUGCAGACCUGGAUGACAGAGGACAGAUACUAUCAAGAGAUGAAGUUAAGGUGGAACAUAAAGUGUCUGUUGCUUUAUUCACAUUCAAAGAUGAGAACUGUGUGGGUGAGGGAAGGGAGGAUGACACGACAGAGGAAAGAUGAGAAGAAGAAAGAGAGCGCAGGUUUCAUCUGAAGGUAACUGGUAGAGGGGUUGGUGGUGAACAAAUGGGGAGUUGUAGAUUAAAAGUAAUGAAGAAAUGAUCGGAAAUGUGCAGAGGUUUUACCAAGAUGUUGUCAGUGACGCAGUUGCGUGUGUAAAUGAGGUCAAGUUGGUUGCCAGAUUUGUGAGUACUUGUGGUGAUGAGCCGAUUAAGAUCGAAUGAGGCUACAAGAGAGAGGAAGUCUGAAGCAUAAGGCUUCUCUAGAUGAAUGUUGAAAUCGCCAAAAAGUACAAGUGGGCUACCAUCCUCUGGGAACGAGGACAGCAGCAUGUCCAGUUCCUCUACAAAUGUACCCAGUUGGCCUGGGGGGCGAUAAAUUAGUACGAUAUGAAUUUUGGCAGGAUUUGAGAUUGUAAUAGCAUGAAACUCAAAUGAAUUGUUGUUGCAAAGAGAGGAAUGAGUCGAGUAUUUCCAAUUGUCAGAAAUGAGAAGACCUGUGCCCCCACCCCUCCCAGACUGGCGAGGGGUAUGAGAGAAAGUGAAGUUGUUAGAGAGAGCAGCAGGGGUUGCUGAGUCCUCUGGACGAAUCCAGGUCUCAGUCAAUCCCAAGAUAUUGAGAGUAGAAUUAGUAGCAAAGGCUGGAAUGAAGUCAGCUUUGUUAACUGCUGACUGACAAUUCCAAAGACCCACAGAGACAGAGAGAGGAGUAUUAGUGUUAGAAGAGGAGUAAAUAGGGCGCAGGUUAGAAGCAUUGCGCUGCCUUUUACGUGGGUUAGUGGAGCGUUGCUGAGAGACAACAGGAAUGUGUUGAAAGCACAUGCUGAUGAUGAAGGAAAAGUGUGAAAGGAGGAAGAAAGUUAAGUGCCUACCGGUGUCGUUGCUCGGUAGAGUCGCGCAAGUAGAGUCGCGCAGGUAGAGUCGCGCAAGUAGAGUCGCGCAGGUAGAGUCGCGCAGGUAGAGUCGCGCAGGUAGAGUCGCGCAAGUAGAGUCGCGCAGGUAGAGUCGCAGGUCUUUACCCGAGUCGGUCUUCACACGAGGAGGCUGAACGCUCCCGCUGACGCUUCCGCGACAGCGCGCACACACACAAUAAAUAUACAGCUUAUUAACACGUGAUUAGAAGAGCUACGCCCGCCUUGCAAAUUAGCACUGCAAAAGCCUAAAGCCCGUGAAUGGCUGCGAAUCGAAACGAAACUCUGCUCAAUUACGAGCAAAUAACUCCAAUAAAGUCUGCAAACGCGCCUGUUAUUCUAAACAAGUGCAAUUAAAAUACAAUUAUAGUCAAGCUACAAAAUAGGACAAACAGAGAUACGAAUUUAAAUCCUUCCUAGUAGCAAAUAAUAAGCGAAGCAAAUGACCCACAACAGAUAUUAAGCAAAACACUUACGCGCUCCUGCCGUCACCACUGCCAACUCGCUACUCCUGCUCACUUCUAACUUACACGAGUUUAAAUAUACUUUUCCCUCGCCACGCCCGCCUUGCAAAUUAGCACUGCAAAAGCCUAAAGCCCCUUCAGUCAUGAUGAUCCAGAAACACUGAUGUUCUGCUGCGUGUUGCUUUAUUUAAACUGUAGUUGCGGAUGCAGUGAUUCAGCAGUCACAUUAGCUCAGGCAUGUGCUGUUAUCAGCUAAUGACUUACUGCAAGGGUUUUGUAUUUUAAAAAAAAGUUUCAUAAUUAUAAUCCAGGAAUUACCUGUAUAGAGCUUUUUUUUUUUUUUUUUUUUUUUU